GUGACAAGAAAUAACAAUACAGGACUUUUUGGUUUUGUAAUUGGAAUGAGUUAAGUAUAAACCCCUUUACAAGUAUCAAUUGGAGGGCAAGUCUGGUGCCAGCAGCCGCGGUAAUUCCAGCUCCAAUAGCGUAUAUUAAAGUUGUUGCAGUUAAAAAGCUCGUAGUUGGAUUUCUGUUAAUAAUUUAUAUAAAAUAUUUUGAAUAUUUAUAUAACAUUAACAUAAUUCAUAUUACUAUAUUUUUUAGUAUAUGAAAUUUUACUUUGAGAAAAUUAGAGUGCUUAAAGCAGGCAUAUGCCUUGAAUACUCCAGCAUGGAAUAAUAUUAAAGAUUUUUAUCUUUCUUAUUGGUUCUAAGAUAAGAAUAAUGAUUAAUAGGGACAGUUGGGGGCAUUUGUAUUUAACAGUCAGAGGUGAAAUUCUUAGAUUUGUUAAAGACAAACUAAUG
RNAcentral lists this ribosomal RNA (447 nucleotides) under Cryptosporidium parvum. RNAcentral describes it as "SSU rRNA". It matches the Rfam family "Eukaryotic small subunit ribosomal RNA", at positions 467 to 945 of the family's 1831-position model. Lineage: Eukaryota; Apicomplexa; Conoidasida; Eucoccidiorida; Cryptosporidiidae. The record is from RNAcentral.